GGGCCCGUAGCUCAGGUGGUUAGAGCAGGGGACUCAUAAUCCCACGGUCGCAGGUUCGAAUCCUGCCGGGCCCA
RNAcentral lists this transfer RNA (74 nucleotides) under Gemmatimonadales bacterium. RNAcentral's name for it is "tRNA-Met". It matches the Rfam family "tRNA". Rfam says of the family: Transfer RNA (tRNA) molecules are approximately 80 nucleotides in length. Their secondary structure includes four short double-helical elements and three loops (D, anti-codon, and T loops). Further hydrogen bonds mediate the characteristic L-shaped molecular structure. tRNAs have two regions of fundamental functional importance: the anti-codon, which is responsible for specific mRNA codon recognition, and the 3' end, to which the tRNAs corresponding amino acid is attached (by aminoacyl-tRNA synthetases). tRNAs cope with the degeneracy of the genetic code in two manners: having more than one tRNA (with a specific anti-codon) for a particular amino acid; and 'wobble' base-pairing, i.e. permitting non-standard base-pairing at the 3rd anti-codon position. Lineage: Bacteria; Pseudomonadati; Gemmatimonadota; Gemmatimonadia; Gemmatimonadales. The record is from RNAcentral.